This 254-nucleotide ribosomal RNA is filed under the name uncultured bacterium. RNAcentral's name for it is "partial 16S ribosomal RNA". It matches the Rfam family "Bacterial small subunit ribosomal RNA", at positions 524 to 778 of the family's 1533-position model. The record is from RNAcentral.
UACAGAGGUCUCAAGCGUUGUUCGGAUUCAUUGGGCGUAAAGGGUGCGUAGGUGGCAUGGUAAGUCGGAUGUGAAAUCCCGGGCUCAACCCCGGAACUGCAUUCGAUACUGCUGAGCUAGAGUACUGGAGAGGAGAUUGGAAUUUACGGUGUAGCAGUGAAAUGCGUAGAUAUCGUAAGGAAGACCAGUGGCGAAGGCGGGAUCUCUGGACAGUUCAGCGCUGAGGCACGAAGGUCCAGGGGAGCAAAACGGGG